RNAcentral lists this ribosomal RNA (478 nucleotides) under uncultured bacterium. RNAcentral describes it as "partial 16S ribosomal RNA". It matches the Rfam family "Bacterial small subunit ribosomal RNA", at positions 28 to 523 of the family's 1533-position model. The record is from RNAcentral.
GACGAACGCUGGCUGCGUGCUUAACACAUGCAAGUCGAACGGUAAGGCCCUUCGGGGUACACGAGUGGCGAACGGGUGAGUAACACGUGGGUGAUCUGCCCUGCACUUCGGGAUAAGCCUGGGAAACUGGGUCUAAUACCGGAUAGGACCACUGCCCGCAUGGGUGGUGGUGGAAAGCUUUUGGGUUGUGGGAUGGGCCCGCGGCCUAUCAGCUUGUUGGUGGGGUGAUGGCCUACCAAGGCGACGACGGGUAGCCGGCCUGAGAGGGUGACCGGCCACACUGGGACUGAGAUACGGCCCAGACUCCUACGGGAGGCAGCAGUGGGGAAUAUUGCACAAUGGGCGCAAGCCUGAUGCAGCGACGCCGCGUGAGGGAUGACGGCCUUCGGGUUGUAAACCUCUUUCAGCACCGACGAAGCGCAAGUGACGGUAGGUGCAGAAGAAGGACCGGCCAACUACGUGCCAGCCGCCGCCGUAA